GCCUUGAUAGCUCAGUGGAUAGAGCGUCUGUCUCCGGAACAGAAGGUCGCGGGUUCGACCCCCGCUCUAGGCU
This 73-nucleotide transfer RNA is filed under the name Bifidobacterium adolescentis. RNAcentral describes it as "tRNA-Arg". It matches the Rfam family "tRNA". From Rfam's summary of the family: Transfer RNA (tRNA) molecules are approximately 80 nucleotides in length. Their secondary structure includes four short double-helical elements and three loops (D, anti-codon, and T loops). RNAcentral also lists the same sequence under 2 other names. Lineage: Bacteria; Bacillati; Actinomycetota; Actinomycetes; Bifidobacteriales; Bifidobacteriaceae. The record is from RNAcentral.